AAAAAUGUGCCUAACUACUGAAUUCUAGAGAUCGUACUUAUUAACUAAGUCACUGCAACCAUUUCACUUAAAACUUUGUUUUUAGCACCACUGUUGGAUAUCAUAAGGCAUUUUAUAUGUUUUCAAUAGCAGAUUUUAAUUAUUCGAUGUCAUAUGAGUUCGUGGAGAACCUUGGAGAGCUAGAAAAAUGGAUAAAACUGAAGAUCACAGCCAUUUUGGAUUAAAAUUAUGGAUGAAAAGUGUUUGACCAAUGUUUAGGGUACAGUAUCAUUUUUAAGCCAUUAUUCAUACUUUAGUGAGUGAAAUGUUGCGUAGGGGAAAAACACCUUCAUAAUUAUUAUGGCUUUUUAUCAUUUAUAAUACAGUUAAUAUGUACAGCAGACUUAAGAAUAACAACGAGGAAAGUGGUGCCAUUUCGUGAAACCUAAGGAUCUUUAAUUUAUCUUCUGCUCAACUUCCCGCAUGGAUAGUUCUCCGAAUGCUGCCAUUUAGCAAAACGUUUUACCGCCCAAUCGGGGUAGUGGUUAAUGACGCUGACUUCCGUACCGAAGCGCCUGAGUUCGAGUAAAGGAGAAGGCAUGGAUCUUUGUAAAUGUACAGUGUCUGUGUGACAUGGGGGGCACUCUAAAUAUGCUGCGAGCCGAAAGUCCUUUCAAGAGGUUGGUGGUAAUGGAAGAGUGAUGGGUUACCUUCAUAUCCGUCCCCUGGAGCGCUGUCCUUCAAAAUUACUGACAGAAAUGAGCAAAGUCGUACUGUCACUUGUAUAGUGCCCAAGGUUCUUGCCAACGAUAGACGCAAACUUACCUCCUUGCUGCGAUGAAUUUCUAUUCUUGCUCUGAUAUCAGACGAGUGAGGUGAGUCACAACAACAACAAUUUUCAGGUGUGCUUAAAAAUGCCUUACGAAGGAUUUGUUAAGUUCAAGAAUUUAGGUUAUGGGAAUAUGGCGGAACAGGCAAGGGCUUUCUGCCUAAAAAGAGGGAUGCCUUCGAGGAAAGCUUUAGAAGCAGAACUGGCUCGCACGUAUUCACGUUACAGAUGGAGAACCCCAAGCCAUACAGCCACUCCGUUCUCCUGGAAUCGAAUCCAAGUUAAACUCCCAGUAUUCAGAGGUCUUACCACUCUGCCACUGGUGGGGCAGACAAGAUUACCACAGAGGCAAGUGGUGGAAACCAAGCAAAUGUAUACUGAAACGUAUUGCCCGCCUCACCAGUAAGAGUCGAAUAAAAACAACAGCUAGCUGAAAGCUUCUGUUAGCAGGUUUAUUUUUAGGUUUGGUCACCAGUUUGCAGAUAACAAAAUGUUUGAUAUUUUUUAACCAAAUUUGUACAAUCUGUUAAUGCAUGAAUAAAUUUUAAGUAAUUACUUUUUUUCAA
Stegodyphus dumicola is the source of this 1374-nucleotide long non-coding RNA. RefSeq lists it as uncharacterized. The record is from RefSeq and is a predicted model, not a curated record. Lineage: Eukaryota; Metazoa; Arthropoda; Arachnida; Araneae; Eresidae.